ACCCCUACGGGAGGCAGCAGUGGGGAAUAUUGGACAAUGGGCGAAAGCCUGAUCCAGCAACGUCGCGUGUGUGAAGAAGGCCUGCGGGUUGUAAAGCACUUUCAGUAGGGAGGAAGGUCUUAUUGAUAAUACCAAUAAGAAUUGACGUUACCUACAGAAGAAGCACCGGCUAACUCUGUGCCAGCAGCCGCGGUAA
This 196-nucleotide ribosomal RNA is filed under the name uncultured Legionellales bacterium. Its description in RNAcentral is "partial 16S ribosomal RNA". It matches the Rfam family "Bacterial small subunit ribosomal RNA", at positions 335 to 523 of the family's 1533-position model. The record is from RNAcentral. Lineage: Bacteria; Pseudomonadati; Pseudomonadota; Gammaproteobacteria; Legionellales.